UAGACUGGAGCUGUUCCUAUUCGGCCAUCUUGGCUCCUCCCUCCAUCGGUAAACCAACUCUUUAACAAAGGGGAGCUGAGGCUCUGUGGCUGGAACCUGGGACUUAGGCCUGAAUUAAUCAGAGCAAUGCACUCCACUGGCCGUAAGUAUAUUUCAGGAGUGGGCAUAUGACCAGUCAGAAUGAAUCCUGGACUCAACAAUGGGAGGUUGUGAAGCUGGAGCUGUUGGCAGCCAUCUGGAGGGGACAGUUUGUCCUGGUGACCUUAUGGUAUGGUUCACUGUGUCCCCACCCAAAUCUCAUCUUGAAUUGUAUCUCCCAUAAUUCCCAUGUGUUGUGGGAGGGUCCUGGUGGGAGGCAAUUGAAUCAUGCAGGCAAUUCUUUCCUGUGCUGUUCUCAUAAUAGCAAAUAAGUCUAAUGGUAUCUGAUGGUUUUAUAAAGGGGAGUUCCCCUGCACAUUCUUUCUUGCCUGCCACCAUGUAAGACGUGACUUUGCUCCUCAUUCACCUUCCACCAUUAUUGUGAGGCUUCCCCAGCCAUGUGGAACCGUGAGUCAAUUAAAC
RNAcentral lists this long non-coding RNA (561 nucleotides) under Homo sapiens (human). Its description in RNAcentral is "HSALNT0054827". Lineage: Eukaryota; Metazoa; Chordata; Mammalia; Primates; Hominidae. The record is from RNAcentral.